GACGAACGCUGGCGGCGUGCUUAACACAUGCAAGUCGAACGGAAAGGCCCUGCUUUUGUGGGGUGCUCGAGUGGCGAACGGGUGAGUAACACGUGAGUAACCUGCCCUUGACUUUGGGAUAACUUCAGGAAACUGGGGCUAAUACCGGAUAGGAGCUCCUGCUGCAUGGUGGGGGUUGGAAAGUUUCGGCGGUUGGGGAUGGACUCGCGGCUUAUCAGCUUGUUGGUGGGGUAGUGGCUUACCAAGGCUUUGACGGGUAGCCGGCCUGAGAGGGUGACCGGCCACAUUGGGACUGAGAUACGGCCCAGACUCCUACGGGAGGCAGCAGUGGGGAAUAUUGCACAAUGGGCGGAAGCCUGAUGCAGCAACGCCGCGUGCGGGAUGACGGCUUUCGGGUUGUAAACCGCUUUCGCCUGUGACGAAGCGUGAGUGACGGUAAUGGGUAAAGAAGCACCAGCUAACUACGUG
This 468-nucleotide ribosomal RNA is filed under the name uncultured bacterium. RNAcentral describes it as "partial 16S ribosomal RNA". It matches the Rfam family "Bacterial small subunit ribosomal RNA", at positions 28 to 507 of the family's 1533-position model. The record is from RNAcentral.